RNAcentral lists this ribosomal RNA (809 nucleotides) under Microascus sp. 795_2_CY01. RNAcentral's name for it is "eukaryotic LSU rRNA". It matches the Rfam family "Eukaryotic large subunit ribosomal RNA", at positions 90 to 925 of the family's 3401-position model. The record is from RNAcentral. Lineage: Eukaryota; Fungi; Ascomycota; Sordariomycetes; Microascales; Microascaceae.
CGAGUGAAGCGGCAACAGCUCAAAUUUGAAAUCUGGUCCCCCUUGGGGGCCCGAGUUGUAAUUUGAAGAGGAUGCUUCUGGCGAGGCGCCGUCCGAGUUCCCUGGAACGGGACGCCGGAGAGGGUGAGAGCCCCGUACGGUCGGACGCCGAGCCUCUGUGAAGCUCCUUCGACGAGUCGAGUAGUUUGGGAAUGCUGCUCAAAAUGGGAGGUAAACCCCUUCUAAAGCUAAAUACCGGCCAGAGACCGAUAGCGCACAAGUAGAGUGAUCGAAAGAUGAAAAGCACUUUGAAAAGAGAGUUAAAAAGCACGUGAAAUUGUUGAAAGGGAAGCGCUUGCGACCAGACUCGCGCCCGUCGGAUCAGCCGUCGCUUGUCGGCGGCGCACUCCGGCGGGCUCGGGCCAGCAUCGGUUCGCCUCGGGGGGAGAAAGGCGGCGGGAACGUGGCUCUACGGAGUGUUAUAGCCCGCCGUGUAAUACCCCCGGGUGGACCGAGGACCGCGCGAAAGCAAGGAUGCUGGCGUAAUGGUCGUCAGCGACCCGUCUUGAAACACGGACCAAGGAGUCGUCCUAAUAUGCGAGUGUACGGGUGUCAAACCCCUGCGCGUAAUGAAAGUGAACGGAGGUGAGAGCUUCGGCGCAUCAUCGACCGAUCCUGAUGUUCUCGGAUGGAUUUGAGUAAGAGCAUAUUGGGCCGGACCCGAAAGAAGGUGAACUAUGCCUGUGUAGGGUAAAGCCAGAGGAAACUCUGGUGGAGGCUCGCAGCGGUUCUGACGUGCAAAUCGAUCGUCAAACAUGGGCAUGGGGGCG